AGCGAACGCUAGCGGCGGGCUUAACACAUGCAAGUCGAGCGGAGGGGCAACCCUUAGCGGCGGACGGGUGAGUAACACGUAGGUAACGUAUCCUCUGGUGGGGAAUAACCGUGGGAAACCAUGGCUAAUACCGCAUAUCGUAUGAAAGUAUGAAAGCCUUCGGGCGCCAGUUGAGCGGCCUGCGGCCCAUUAGUUAGUUGGCGGGGUAACGGCCCACCAAGACGAUGAUGGGUAGCUGGUCUGAGAGGAUGAUCAGCCACACUGGAACUGAGACACGGUCCAGACUCCUACGGGAGGCAGCAGUGGGGAAUAUUGCGCAAUGGGCGAAAGCCUGACGCAGCCACGCCGCGUGAGUGAUGAAGGCC
This 365-nucleotide ribosomal RNA is filed under the name uncultured bacterium. RNAcentral's name for it is "bacterial SSU rRNA". It matches the Rfam family "Bacterial small subunit ribosomal RNA", at positions 29 to 416 of the family's 1533-position model. The record is from RNAcentral.